CAGAGAAUUCCACAUCCUGAUUGUUCUUACAGUAAAAAAACCUUUCCUUUUACUGUAAGAACAUAAGCAUUUUAAAAUUAGUAUUACUUUUUAAAGAGUCAUUCUAAGUACCUUAACCACUGCAUCUAGUGGUAAUUGUGCUAUCAGACUUAGAGCACCAUCCUCUGGUUUCAAUUAAACCAUUUUGUAAAAAAAAUGGCCCCUGAGACACUGAUGACUCAACCUCCACUAACUGCUAAUUUGUUCCACUCCGAAUUUGCCAAAACUAAAUUCACCAAUAUUUGGGUACCAUUGAUUGGCUGAGUAAAUUAAGUGAUACCCUUAGUAUAAUAGCACCAUAACUUGGUGGAAUGGAGUACCCCUUUAAACAUAUUAAAUCCUGACUAAUGAAAGCAUAAUAAAAUUUUGUAUUAACAUUAUUUAUUC
Pelobates cultripes (western spadefoot toad) is the source of this 426-nucleotide non-coding RNA. The record is from the annotation of a GenBank genome assembly. NCBI's taxonomy places the organism in Eukaryota, Metazoa, Chordata, Amphibia, Anura, Pelobatidae.